GGCCGGAUGGUGUAGUUGGUCAUCACGUAUCGUUAACAUGAGCUUCUACUAAGAAGCCUUGGUACCGAUAAGGUCCCCGGUUCGAACCCGGGUCUGGUCA
Molecule: transfer RNA, 100 nt
Filed under: Xylona heveae TC161
Lineage: Eukaryota; Fungi; Ascomycota; Xylonomycetes; Xylonales; Xylonaceae
Description: tRNA-Val
Rfam family: tRNA
About the family: Transfer RNA (tRNA) molecules are approximately 80 nucleotides in length. Their secondary structure includes four short double-helical elements and three loops (D, anti-codon, and T loops). Further hydrogen bonds mediate the characteristic L-shaped molecular structure. tRNAs have two regions of fundamental functional importance: the anti-codon, which is responsible for specific mRNA codon recognition, and the 3' end, to which the tRNAs corresponding amino acid is attached (by aminoacyl-tRNA synthetases). tRNAs cope with the degeneracy of the genetic code in two manners: having more than one tRNA (with a specific anti-codon) for a particular amino acid; and 'wobble' base-pairing, i.e. permitting non-standard base-pairing at the 3rd anti-codon position.
Source: RNAcentral